This 484-nucleotide ribosomal RNA is filed under the name uncultured bacterium. Its description in RNAcentral is "partial 16S ribosomal RNA". It matches the Rfam family "Bacterial small subunit ribosomal RNA", at positions 30 to 507 of the family's 1533-position model. The record is from RNAcentral.
AUUGAACGCUGGCGGCAGGCCUAACACAUGCAAGUCGAGCGGAUGAAGGGAGCUUGCUCCUGGAUUCAGCGGCGGACGGGUGAGUAAUGCCUAGGAAUCUGCCUGGUAGUGGGGGAUAACGUCCGGAAACGGGCGCUAAUGCCGCAUACGUCCUGAGGGAGAAAGUGGGGGAUCUUCGGACCUCACGCUAUCAGAUGAGCCUAGGUCGGAUUAGCUAGUUGGUGGGGUAAAGGCCUACCAAGGCGACGAUCCGUAACUGGUCUGAGAGGAUGAUCAGUCACACUGGAACUGAGACACGGUCCAGACUCCUACGGGAGGCAGCAGUGGGGAAUAUUGGACAAAGGGCGAAAGCCUGAUCCAGCCAUGCCGCGUGUGUGAAGAAGGUCUUCGGAUUGUAAAGCACUUUAAGUUGGGAGGAAGGGCAGUAAGUUAAUACCUUGCUGUUUUGACGUUACCAACAGAAUAAGCACCGGCUAACUUCGUG